RNAcentral lists this ribosomal RNA (468 nucleotides) under uncultured bacterium. RNAcentral's name for it is "partial 16S ribosomal RNA". It matches the Rfam family "Bacterial small subunit ribosomal RNA", at positions 28 to 507 of the family's 1533-position model. The record is from RNAcentral.
GACGAACGCUGGCGGCGUGCUUAACACAUGCAAGUCGAACGGAAAGGCCCUGCUUUUGUGGGGUGCUCGAGUGGCGAACGGGUGAGUAACACGUGAGUAACCUGCCCUUGACUUUGGGAUAACUUCAGGAAACUGGGGCUAAUACCUGAUAGGAGCUCCUGCUGCAUGGUGGGGGUUGGAAAGUUUCGGCGGUUGGGGAUGGACUCGCGGCUUAUCAGCUUGUUGGUGGGGUAGUGGCUUACCAAGGCUUUGACGGGUAGCCGGCCUGAGAGGGUGACCGGCAACAUGGGGACUGAGAUACGGCCCAGACUCCUACGGGAGGCAGCAGUGGGGAAUAUUGCACAAUGGGCGGAAGCCUGAUGCAGCAACGCCGCGUGCGGGAUGACGGCCUUCGGGUUGUAAACCGCUUUCGCCUGUGACGAAGCGUGAGUGACGGUAAUGGGUAAAGAAGCACCGGCUAACUACGUG